CCUGAUGGAGGGGGAUAACUACUGGAAACGGUAGCUAAUACCGCAUAACGUCGCAAGACCAAAGAGGGGGACCUUCGGGCCUCUUGCCAUCAGAUGUGCCCAGAUGGGAUUAGCUAGUAGGUGGGGUAACGGCUCACCUAGGCGACGAUCCCUAGCUGGUCUGAGAGGAUGACCAGCCACACUGGAACUGAGACACGGUCCAGGCUCCUACGGGAGGCAGCAGUGGGGAAUAUUGCACAAUGGGCGCAAGCCUGAUGCAGCCAUGCCGCGUGUAUGAAGAAGGCCUUCGGGUUGUAAAGUACUUUCAGCGGGGAGGAAGGCGAUAAGGUUAAUAACCUUGUCGAUUGACGUUACCCGCAGAAGAAGCACCGGCCAACUCCGUGCCAGCAGCCGCGGUAAU
This 400-nucleotide ribosomal RNA is filed under the name uncultured bacterium. Its description in RNAcentral is "bacterial SSU rRNA". It matches the Rfam family "Bacterial small subunit ribosomal RNA", at positions 129 to 524 of the family's 1533-position model. The record is from RNAcentral.